This 455-nucleotide ribosomal RNA is filed under the name uncultured bacterium. Its description in RNAcentral is "SSU rRNA". It matches the Rfam family "Bacterial small subunit ribosomal RNA", at positions 26 to 518 of the family's 1533-position model. The record is from RNAcentral.
AGAACGAACGCUGGCGGCAGGCCUAACACAUGCAAGUCGAACGUGAAGCCACCUUCGGGUGGUGGAAAGUGGCAGACGGGUGAGUAACGCGUGGGAAUCUACCCAAUGGUACGGAAUAACUCAGGGAAACUUGAGCUAAUACCGUAUGUGCCCGAAAGGGGAAGAUUUAUCGCCAUUGGAUGAGCCCGCGUCUGAUUAGCUAGUUGGUGGGGUAAUGGCCCACCAAGGCGACGAUCAGUAGCUGGUCUGAGAGGAUGAUCAGCCACACUGGGACUGAGACACGGCCCAGACUCCUACGGGAGGCAGCAGUGGGGAAUAUUGGACAAUGGGCGCAAGCCUGAUCCAGCCAUGCCGCGUGAGUGAUGAAGGCCCUAGGGUUGUAAAGCUCUUUCGACGGGGACGAUAAUGACGGUACCCGUAGAAGAAGCCCCGGCUAACUUCGUGCCAGCAGCCGC